Molecule: long non-coding RNA, 394 nt
Filed under: Rattus norvegicus (Norway rat)
Lineage: Eukaryota; Metazoa; Chordata; Mammalia; Rodentia; Muridae
Description: long non-coding RNA NONRATT004375
Source: RNAcentral
UUGACAGGUCGGCGUUAAACCUGCUCUGUCCACUGUGUGAGACGAACAGGUGGAGGGUGGACGACGCAGAGAAAGCUCGGAGCGGGCCGCGGAGGUUCCCACAGCCCCAUUACUGUCAGCGUUGAGCCGCACCCCUCCGGGCCGCACUUCCUCUCUCAGUCCCCGCUGCCGGAGAGCCCCGCUAGGCUCGGUGAUCCUAGCCUGCAGUUUGCCGCCGCUACACCUUGGCUUCAGCCUGCGGGAGGUUUCAGCUGUAAGGAGCAUCCUCCUCUCUCAGGAUGACUUCAGCCUCCAGCCCCCCAGCUUUCAGGCUGGAGACUUCCGAUGGAGAUGAAGAGGGCAAUGCUGAGGUGAACAAGGGGAAGCAGGAACCGCCCCCCAUGGAGUCACCAUU